GUACACGCUGUGACUAGCAUAUCAAUAAGCGGAGGAAAAGAAACUAACAAGGAUUCCCCUAGUAACGGCGAGUGAAGCGGGAAGAGCUCAAAUUUGAAAUCUUAAAGGGUUUCCCUUUACGAAUUGUAGUUUAAAGAAGUGUUUUCUGUUGAGGUUUUGGUAAAAGUUCUUUGGAAUAGGACAUCAUAGAGGGUGAGAAUCCCGUAUUUGACCAUUACUUUCAACUUUGUGAUACUCUUUCAAAGAGUCGGAUUGUUUGGGAAUGCAGUCCAAAAUGGGUGGUAAAUUUCAUCUAAAGCUAAAUAUUGGCGAGAGACCGAUAGCGAACAAGUACCGUGAGGGAAAGAUGAAAAGAACUUUGAAAAGAGAGUUAAACAGUACGUGAAAUUGUCAAAAGGGAAGCGUUUGACACCAGUGUUGUUUUUCUGAAAAUCAAUUAAAGAACUGUUUAUGCUAAGUUGUCUAGACUUUAUCAGCUAUCUGUUUAGUUUUGAGCUUUUCUUUAAUGCACUUUUCAGUUAACAAGUCAACAUCAAUUUCUUUUGCUGUAAAAAAGCUUGAGGAAGGUGGCUUGAGAUUCGUCUUAAGUGUUUAUAGCCUCUUGCCUAUGCAGUCGGAGAGAUUGAGGUCUGCAGCGUAGAUCCUUCGGGGCUAAAUGCAUUUGUGCUAAGUUAUAGCAUUUUAUAGACAACUUGUUGACUAUGACUUGUCUUGUAGCUUACUCGCUUAUGUUAUUUUACCUACGCUUAGGAUGUUGAUAUGCAUGACUGAUAU
This 774-nucleotide ribosomal RNA is filed under the name uncultured Neocallimastigales. RNAcentral's name for it is "partial large subunit ribosomal RNA". It matches the Rfam family "Eukaryotic large subunit ribosomal RNA", at positions 22 to 640 of the family's 3401-position model. Lineage: Eukaryota; Fungi; Neocallimastigomycota; Neocallimastigomycetes; Neocallimastigales. The record is from RNAcentral.